RNAcentral lists this ribosomal RNA (253 nucleotides) under uncultured bacterium. RNAcentral describes it as "partial 16S ribosomal RNA". It matches the Rfam family "Bacterial small subunit ribosomal RNA", at positions 524 to 776 of the family's 1533-position model. The record is from RNAcentral.
UACGUAGGGUGCAAGCGUUGUCCGGAUUUACUGGGCGCAAAGGGCGUGCAGGCGGUUUGUUUUGUCUAGGGUGAAAGCUCCCGGCUUAACUGGGAGAGGUCCUUGGAUACUGGCAAACUUGAGGGAGGCAGAGGAAAGUGGAAUUCCCGGUGUAGUGGUGAUAUGCGUAGAUAUCGGGAGGAACACCAGUGGCGAAGGCGGCUUUCUGGGCCUUACCUGACGCUGAGACGCGAAAGCGUGGAGAGCAAACAGG